Salmo salar (Atlantic salmon) is the source of this 1311-nucleotide non-coding RNA. Lineage: Eukaryota; Metazoa; Chordata; Actinopteri; Salmoniformes; Salmonidae. The record is from RefSeq and is a predicted model, not a curated record.
GUCAGUUUUACAAAGGUAUGUUUGGCAGCAUGAUUGAAGGAUGCAAUAAAGACACAGUUCACAUAUGGAAGCAAUGUUUCCUUACCUCCUUUGCCAUAUUCCUUGCUGAUAUUCUGCAUAGCAACGGGGACAUGUGAAAGACAAGCCUGACUUCUCCCCUCUCUGGGCCCCAGGUGACUGAGGUCCAUAUGUUGGAGGCAGUGCAGCUGCCAACACCAGAGUCGGAAAGGAGAUAUUCUAAUGACGAGUUCAACAGUUCAAUUAUAUAAGCAUGUUCUGCAGAUAAGACAUCUUAAUUAUCUAUGUUACUUAGCCAGUUCUGAUUUCUCCACCCCACUACUUUUCCACCACUGAGUACAUCUAUUGUAUGGUCAGCCAAAAAUAUUGUUUGACCAUUUCUCCAAUAUCCGGCAUACAAGUUAAAUUGACCUGUCAAUGUUCAGACUACUUUUACAUUUAUGGUCCGGUUGCAUAUUGACUUAAUUAGCCUAUGUUCAUUUUAUGAAUGUUGUAUGCUAUGAAGAGAAUUAUUAAGCAUUAUUGAUUUGUGUUCAGGCAUGCUGUUUUUGAUCAUGAGCAGCCAUUCAUGUGUUGUGCAGGUGUAUAAGUUGUUGGAAGUAUAACAAUGAGGAGAGAAUGUCAUGGCCUAUGUACAAACAAUUAAUGUUUUCCUCCCCAAACAGAUACUGGUUUGAGGAACGAACCCGCAGAACUGGGACAGAAUCUGUUUUCAGCAAUGUUCCCUGGCAGGCGACGAUGUGCUGCUGAUGGCCAGAGAGUUAAUGCAGAGAGAGAAGGCACUAAGUGACCCAACUGUCCCAAUGCAUGUUAACAUCGGUGGUGCCAGAAUGGAGGUGGCCAAAGAGAUCCUGGACAAAGAUGGAGUGCUCCACAUGCUCCAGUUGGUACCACACCUCCUGUGCUGGGGUAUCCAUCAGCAUUUACCAUCAACACAUGGAUAAUCCUGCCUUACAAUGGAUAUGCCCACCCUGCCACAAUUGAAGACCUGCACACCAAGGCUACUAUUGGGUUGAUACUGUGUCAAAUCGAUAUAAUGUCCAGAGUUGUAAACGAUUUACAACUACAGUAGAUGGUAUAUUUUAGGGCUGUCCCCAACGGGAAAAAAAUCUUGGUUGACUUAGUCUUCCUGUUCUUUCCACCAAUCGAUUGGUCUAAAUGUUUAAAUGUAUUUUUCCAUAUAGUGUUUGAUUUCAUUUUGCUGUUGCGUUAGGCUUGACGCUCAUGGAAUCAGUAAGCUAUUAAACACUCAUACAGCCAAUAGAAGCAGGGACAAUGUUAUUUCUGUAGAUU